RNAcentral lists this ribosomal RNA (876 nucleotides) under uncultured bacterium. RNAcentral's name for it is "bacterial SSU rRNA". It matches the Rfam family "Bacterial small subunit ribosomal RNA", at positions 8 to 917 of the family's 1533-position model. The record is from RNAcentral.
AGAGUUUGAUCCUGGCUCAGAAUCAACGCUGGCGGCGCGCUUAACACAUGCAAGUCGCACGAGAAAGGGGGCAACCCUGAGUACAGUGGCGUACGGGUGAGUAACACGUGGGUGAUCUACCUCUGAGUGGGGAAUAACCCUGGGAAACCGGGGCUAAUACCGCAUAAUCUCGAGAGAGGAAAGCAGCAAUGCGCUGAGAGAGGAGCCCGCGGCCGAUUAGCUAGUUGGUAGGGUAAAGGCCUACCAAGGCAAAGAUCGGUAGCCGGCCUGAGAGGGCACACGGCCACACUGGCACUGAAACACGGGCCAGACUCCUACGGGAGGCAGCAGUGGGGAAUCUUGCACAAUGGGGGAAACCCUGAUGCAGCGACGCCGCGUGAGCGAUGAAGCCCUUCGGGGUGUAAAGCUCUUUCGUCAGGGAAGAUGAUGACGGUACCUGGAGAAGCAGCUGCGGCUAACUACGUGCCAGCAGCCGCGGUAAUACGUAGGCAGCGAGCGUUGUUCGGAGUUACUGGGCGUAAAGGGUGUGUAGGCGGUUCUUUAAGUUUGGUGUGAAAUCUCCCGGCUCAACCGGGAGGGUGCGCCGAAUACUGAGGGACUUGGAGUGCGGGAGAGGAAAGUGGAAUUCCUGGUGUAGCGGUGAAAUGCGUAGAUAUCAGGAGGAACACCGGUGGUGUAGACGGCUUUCUGGACCGUAACUGACGCUGAGACACGAAAGCGUGGGUAGCAACAGGAUUAGAUAACCCUGGUAGUCCACGCCCUAAACGAUGCAUAUUUGGUGUGGGUCAUCCAGUUGAUCCGUGCCGGAGCUACGGCGGUUAAUUAUGCCCGCUUGUGAGUACAGUCGCAAGGCUGAAACUCAAAGGAAUGGACGGG